Molecule: unclassified non-coding RNA, 296 nt
Filed under: Hevea brasiliensis (rubber tree)
Lineage: Eukaryota; Viridiplantae; Streptophyta; Magnoliopsida; Malpighiales; Euphorbiaceae
Source: RNAcentral
GAGCAUUUAGAGAUUUCAUUUUUCAUUUUCUUAUUCUUUUCCCCCACCUUGUUUUGUUCCAGUUCUGCAUUUAUUUGUUUGCUCACUUGGGACAGCCAGUUCUUCCCUUGUAAUAUUUGAAAAAUUAAAGCCUGAAAAUUUCAUAUGUACAUCGCCCUUGGUGUUUGGAACAAUGGGGCUAAUCAUUUAUUAUCGAUGAAAACCUAACUGGAUUUCACCUAUUAUGGCAAUCAGGGAGAAAACUUUUUAACAAUUAGGUCAGAGGAGAAGGCUUGAAACACAUGUAAUUGAAAUGC